Molecule: ribosomal RNA, 220 nt
Filed under: uncultured bacterium
Lineage: Bacteria
Description: partial 16S ribosomal RNA
Rfam family: Bacterial small subunit ribosomal RNA
Source: RNAcentral
UAACACGUCGGAACGUAUCCUGUUGUGGGGGAUAACUAGUCGAAAGAUUAGCUAAUACCGCAUGACCUCGGAAGAGAAAAGCAGGGGAUCGCAAGACCUUGCGCGAUUGGAGCGGCCGAUGUCCGAUUAGCUAGUUGGUGGGGUAAAGGCCUACCAAGGCGACGAUCGGUAGCUGGUCUGAGAGGAUGAUCAGCCACACUGGGACUGAGAUACGGCCCAG